CUGCUGCCUCCCGUAGGAGUUUGGGCCGUGUCUCAGUCCCAAUGUGGCCGUCCACCCUCUCAGGCCGGCUACUGAUCGUCGCCUUGGUGGGCCGUUACCCCGCCAACAAGCUAAUCAGACGCGGGUCCAUCCUACACCACCGGAGUUUUUCACACAAAUCCAUGCGGCUUCGUGCGCUUAUGCGGUAUUAGCACCUAUUUCUAAGUGUUAUCCCCCAGUGUAAGGCAGGUUACCCACGCGUUACUCACCCGUCCGCCACUAAG
Molecule: ribosomal RNA, 263 nt
Filed under: uncultured bacterium
Lineage: Bacteria
Description: partial 16S ribosomal RNA
Source: RNAcentral